Molecule: non-coding RNA, 731 nt
Organism: Pelodiscus sinensis (Chinese soft-shelled turtle)
Lineage: Eukaryota; Metazoa; Chordata; Testudines; Trionychidae
Source: RefSeq, a predicted model, not a curated record
GAAAGAGGCCUAGCAGUCUGGGACUCUGCCUUGGAGUGUGGAACCAAAGGGGGAGCCAGGGUGCUGCCAAGGACAUUGACCCAGUCCAGGGGCUGUUGGAUGCAGCUACAGACUGUUGCCUAUUGAAACUGGGAGGUAGCAGGCUGCUUUCUUUAGGCCCAGCAUGAGGCAGGCUGUUCCCUUUCUGUAGAAGAUUGAGAGGGCAAUAAGAAAAAGAGCAGGAAGAAAGGGCAAGUCUUUUAGUCCUUAUUCAGUGCAUGCACAGAUGAUCCCUGGAGCACAGGAAGUGCUGGUACCAUUUACCCUGGACAGCUAUGAAGAGGUGGGAUCCAGUUCUAACAAUGGACUCUACACAGCUCUUCCCUGAAAGAAAUGGCAGCGGUAGCUGCAGCACAAGUAUACACUUAGCACUGGACAGAGUACUCUGCAAACUUCUUUAAAACUUUUUUCCAGCACAUAAAUACUCAAACUCCAGUGUAGGAACCUGCUUAUACAAGGACAAUUUAGCUGGAGGUAUGUUGCCAAACGAAGUGUGAGAUUUACUUUAUGGAAUAAACAGCAGAGUUCAUAAAACAUGGGUGUCACAUGGCCAGAUGCAGCAUAUCAGGAAUCAAUAGAGCUACCUUUUAAUACAUUAUGGCUUCAGACCAAAAAAAGAGACUGAUUGCUUUUUCCUCAUGAGUGGAGCAAGCUUUAGAAUGAGACAGAAAUUCUUCUCUUAAAUUCCCCAU